ACUCCUACGGGAGGCAGCAGUAGGGAAUCUUCCACAAUGGGCGCAAGCCUGAUGGAGCAACACCGCGUGAGUGAAGAAGGGUUUCGGCUCGUAAAGCUCUGUUGUUAAAGAAGAACACGUAUGAGAGUAACUGUUCAUACGUUGACGGUAUUUAACCAGAAAGUCACGGCUAACUACGUGCCAGCAGCCGCGGUAAUACGUAGGUGGCAAGCGUUAUCCGGAUUUAUUGGGCGUAAAGAGAGUGCAGGCGGUUUUCUAAGUCUGAUGUGAAAGCCUUCGGCUUAACCGGAGAAGUGCAUCGGAAACUGGAUAACUUGAGUGCAGAAGAGGGUAGUGGAACUCCAUGUGUAGCGGUGGAAUGCGUAGAUAUAUGGAAGAACACCAGUGGCGAAGGCGGCUACCUGGUCUGCAACUGACGCUGAGACUCGAAAGCAUGGGUAGCGAACAGGAUUAGAUACCCUGGUAGGAUAGGG
RNAcentral lists this ribosomal RNA (473 nucleotides) under uncultured bacterium. Its description in RNAcentral is "bacterial SSU rRNA". It matches the Rfam family "Bacterial small subunit ribosomal RNA", at positions 335 to 800 of the family's 1533-position model. The record is from RNAcentral.